AUUGCAAGCCUGUUGACAGCACUUCAGUCAGAUCAAGACGGCUUGUAGUACCCCAUCGCUUCGCUUCUUUAGGGGGCCUUCAUAGUGACAUUAAAGGAGUGGACGCUGAGCAGGUUUGAGAUUGAGGGCUCUGAACAGAGGGGGGACAAAAGCAAGCAAGCCAGAGGGCGGAGGGGAGCGGAUGAACCGGUGAGAUGAUAAUGCAGCAUGACACCUCUGAAAUGAAUCCCUGGUUACCAUGGCGAAGAAGCGGGAUGAGCCGCUCUCUUAGGAGGCUCAAUAAAAGCAUGUUGUAAAUGAUGUUUGAUUAGUAUUUUCAACAUGUUCCUGCUUGGAAGAGACGUUUUUUUGUCAGCUGCCUCUUCUAUUGUUCUUCUCCUACCCAAUAUUAUGAGGAUAAAUAAACGGCAACUGCCAAUUUAUAUGAUA
Molecule: long non-coding RNA, 429 nt
Organism: Syngnathus acus (greater pipefish)
Lineage: Eukaryota; Metazoa; Chordata; Actinopteri; Syngnathiformes; Syngnathidae
Exons: 2
Source: RefSeq, a predicted model, not a curated record